This 22-nucleotide non-coding RNA is filed under the name Arabidopsis thaliana (thale cress). Lineage: Eukaryota; Viridiplantae; Streptophyta; Magnoliopsida; Brassicales; Brassicaceae. The record is from RNAcentral.
UCCUAAUUUUCACAUUGUUGGC